UGGGGAAUAUUGGACAAUGGGCGCAAGCCUGAUCCAGCCAUGCCGCGUGAGUGAUGAAGGCCCUAGGGUUGUAAAGCUCUUUCACCGGUGAAGAUAAUGACGGUAACCGGAGAAGAAGCCCCGACUAACUUCGUGCCAGCAGCCGCGGUAAUACGAAGGGGGCUAGCGUUGUUCGGAUUUACUGGGCGUAAAGCGCACGUAGGCGGACUUUUAAGUCAGGGGUGAAAUCCCGGGGCUCAACCCCGGAACUGCCUUUGAUACUGGAAGUCUUGAGUAUGGUAGAGGUGAGUGGAAUUCCGAGUGUAGAGGUGAAAUUCGUAGAUAUUCGGAGGAACACCAGUGGCGAAGGCGGCUCACUGGACCAUUACUGACGCUGAGGUGCGAAAGCGUGGGGAGCAAACAGG
This 404-nucleotide ribosomal RNA is filed under the name Brucella melitensis. Its description in RNAcentral is "partial 16S ribosomal RNA". It matches the Rfam family "Bacterial small subunit ribosomal RNA", at positions 355 to 776 of the family's 1533-position model. Lineage: Bacteria; Pseudomonadati; Pseudomonadota; Alphaproteobacteria; Hyphomicrobiales; Brucellaceae. The record is from RNAcentral. RNAcentral also lists the same sequence under 2 other names.